GGCUAAUCUGCCCUUGGGACCGGAACACCCCCGGGAAACUGGGGCUAAUUCUCGAUAGGUGAAGAACUCUGGAAUGAGUCUUUGCCAAAAAGACGUUUGCGUUAUGCUCGUAGGCGUCGCCCAAGGAUGAGGCCGCGACCGAUCAGGUUGUUGGUGAGGUAAUGGCUCACCAAGCCUUUUACCGGUGCGGGCCGUGAGAGCGGGAGCCCGGAGAUGGGCACUGAGACAAGGGCCCAGGCCCUACGGGGCGCAGCAGUCGCGAAAACUUUGCAAUACACGAAAGUGUGACAGGGCUAUCCCGAGUGCCAUCCGCUGAGGAAGGCUUUUACCCAGUCUAGAACGCUGGGGGAAUAAGGAGAGGGCAAGUCUGGUGUCAGCCGCCGCGGUAAUACCAGCUCUCCGAGUGGUGUGGAUGUUUAUUGGGCCUAAAGCAUCCGUAGCUGGCUAAGUUAAUCCCUUGUUAAAUCCACCGAAUUAAUCGUUGGAUUGCGGGGGAUACUGCUUGGCUAGGGACGAGAGAGGCAGACGGUAUUUCCGGGGUAGGGGUGAAAUCCUAUAAUCCCGGGAAGACCACCAGUGGCGAAGGCUGUCUGCUAGAACGCGCCCGACGGUGAGGGAUGAAAGCUGGGGGAGCGAACCGGAUUAGAUACCCGGGUAGUCCCAGCUGUAAACGAUGCAGGCUAGGUGUUUGGACGGCCACGUGCCGUUCUAGUGCCGCAGGGAAGCUGUUAAGCCUGCCGCCUGGGGAGUACGAUCGCAAGAUUGAAACU
Molecule: ribosomal RNA, 770 nt
Filed under: uncultured archaeon
Lineage: Archaea
Description: bacterial SSU rRNA
Rfam family: Archaeal small subunit ribosomal RNA
Source: RNAcentral